This 433-nucleotide unclassified non-coding RNA is filed under the name soil metagenome. RNAcentral describes it as "partial contains 5.8S ribosomal RNA, internal transcribed spacer 2, and large subunit ribosomal RNA". The stretch from base 1 to 120 matches the Rfam family "5.8S ribosomal RNA", at positions 35 to 154 of the family's 154-position model. The record is from RNAcentral.
GAUGAAGAACGCAGCGAAAUGCGAUACGUAAUGUGAAUUGCAGAAUUCAGUGAAUCAUCGAAUCUUUGAACGCAUAUUGCGAUCUCUGGUAUUCCGGAGAGCAUGCUUGUUUGAGUAUCAGUAAACACCUCAACUUCCAUAUCUUUUUUGAAAUGGGAGUUGGACUUGAGUGAUCCCAACGCUUUUCCUCACCGAAAAGUGGCGGGUUACUUGAAAUGCAGGUGCAGCUGGACUUUUCUCUGAGCUAUAAGCAUAUCUAUUUAGUCUGCCUAAAAAACAGAUUAUUACCUUUGCUGCAGCUAACAUAAAGGAGAUUAGUUCUUGUGCUGACUGAUGCAGGAUUCACAAAGACAGGCUUCGGCCGACUUUGUAAACUCGAUCUCAAAUCAAGUAAGACUACCCGCUGAACUUAAGCAUAUCAAUAAGCGGAGGA